Molecule: transfer RNA, 86 nt
Filed under: Blumeria hordei DH14
Lineage: Eukaryota; Fungi; Ascomycota; Leotiomycetes; Helotiales; Erysiphaceae
Description: tRNA-Val for anticodon CAC
Source: RNAcentral
AGUCACAUGGUCUAAUGGUUAUGAUAUCUCGUUCACACCAUGAACAACUCCCGAGAUGGUUCUGAGUUCGAUCCUCAGUGUGGCUA